AGGCAGUGUAGUUAGAUGAUUUGAUUUAAUAUCAAUCACUAACUACACAGCUAGG
This 55-nucleotide microRNA precursor is filed under the name Xenopus laevis (African clawed frog). RNAcentral's name for it is "Xla-Mir-34-P2b2b_pre stem-loop". The record is from RNAcentral. Lineage: Eukaryota; Metazoa; Chordata; Amphibia; Anura; Pipidae.